Non-coding RNA from Mesorhizobium ciceri biovar biserrulae WSM1271, 109 nucleotides. Lineage: Bacteria; Pseudomonadati; Pseudomonadota; Alphaproteobacteria; Hyphomicrobiales; Phyllobacteriaceae. The record is from Rfam.
CUGCGGGCUGCGUCAACCGGGCCUGGUGGUACGGUGAACAGGAUGUCUUUUUCCCGGUUUCUCAUCCUGGCCAACGAAACGGCAGACGAGCAUCUGUCCCACCCGGCCC